This is a long non-coding RNA of Diabrotica virgifera virgifera (western corn rootworm), 2238 nucleotides long. RefSeq lists it as uncharacterized. The record is from RefSeq and is a predicted model, not a curated record. The transcript has 3 exons. Lineage: Eukaryota; Metazoa; Arthropoda; Insecta; Coleoptera; Chrysomelidae.
UUUCAAAGUUAUCAAAUAGAUGAAAUGUGGAAAAAAUCCCCUUACGAACAAUUCACACAUCCACCAUUUCGGGCUGGGAAAAAUUUUUCGAAUAGAAUCAAAGAUCCAAACACCAGUUCUUAGAAAUGUGUUUCGCCCUCUUCAACCUCUCUGGGCUCGUCGGUAAAGACAAGAGGUUGAAUAUCUUUAGACACAUUCUAAUCAAAAAACAACAUUCGAGACCUAGACAUAGAAGGUGCGUAAGUCUACGGCAAAUCCGACAAUGACAGUCUCAAGUUUUAAUUCCCUAAUUACUUAAAUCAUGAAGUUAAGUAGUAUCGUGGGAUAUUUGAAGUUCUUGGGUACUGAAAAUUCAAGAAGUUUUAAACUCUAGUCAUCUUAUUUUGGCUGCAAAAAUAGAGGAAAGUUCUGAGCAUACCAUCAAAAUAUAAUAUGCUUUAUUCCUUCAGUAAGGUCCAAUCCCCACGAAAUUAAAGGAACCCUAUCUUUCACAAAUGGCAUGAGCAUUAGCCAAAUGUUAUGUUCUUCUAAAGCAGAAAAUAGUGGAAAAUGUAAACAUGUCUCUACUCUUGUUAAAUGGAAAAUGUGAAAUUAAUGGAACAUUCAGUACAUGAGUUGAAAAAAUGUUAACAGAUUGGCAAAUGAAGACCAUUUUUAAUUGAUCUAAACAUUUAUAGAAACAAAGUAUAUGGUUAAUAUAAAUAUUACCUGCCUGAAGUAACUUGGUGUACAAAUUAAUAGUAACCAUAAUUUUUAUUCCCAGGGCCAGUGAGAAACAAUGUGCAUUUGAUUUCUAAGUGUUCUAAGGAAAGAUCUCGUAAGAAUAAAUAGAUCUGUACAAUGAAGAUUAACCUAAUCUGUUUAACCAUCGAAAUUAUUGUAUUGUUAUAAAAAUAAUAAAUCUCCAUUUCAUAUUAUUUACACUUACAUACAUUAACCUGGAAUUUCAUUGUGUCUACAUUAGUGGCCAUAGUCAGAAACCUACGCUAGUCUACGGAGGUACUGUCUUUCACAGAUGUGGUAAAACCGUGUUUGAUACAUAAUUGCUAAAUAAACUUUGUGAAUAGUAACUUUUCACAAAAUAGACAAAAUAGAGUUUUAAUAGUUUUUACUGUACUUAAAUAUUUUUUACAUUCAGUGGUAAUAACAUAUUAUAUUUUGUUUUGGUAUUUAAAUUUACCUAAAUAUUUAUAGAAAUAUACUAUACUAAAUUCAAGAUGCAGUAGAAAUAAACAAACCAAGACACAUUAAAUGCUACUAUGAGCACUCCCGAAUCAUAAUUUACAAUGUAUAUACAUUGUAAAUCCCAAAUCAUGAUUUCCAAAGUUUGUACAUUGUGAAUUAUGAUUCGGGAGUGCUCCUAAUAGUAGCAUUUAACUUGUCUUGGUUUGUUUAUUUCUACUGCAUCUUAAUUUUAAAUUUAGUGUAGAUGUGGCCAUCAUAGGACGCUUACUUAUAGAUGCAAUAAAAUUAUUGGUUUAUUUUCAUUUUAAAUGUUAUACUUCCAGUAUUGUAUGUAUUACCUAGUAUUAAAACAUAUAUUUUUAAUUAAAAAUAUAAAUAUCUUAUUUUUAUAAUGAACAACAUUAAAUUUACUUCUUGCGGGAGUAGAAAAAAGUUAUAGUAAAUAUUUUUAACUCGUUUAGCUUUUGAUGAUAUUUGCCAUAUGUUUGUGUAAGACAUGUUUAACGAGCAGUCUAAGGACAUAUUAUUAUACUUUGUUAUACAAAAUAGACAUAAAAUUUUGAAACUUUCAGCUUCACUUUUUCAUUGUUUCAAUAUUAAAUCCCAAAUUUAGACUCUCCACCAUUUUCUCAUAAAAAAGUAUGUUCAGUUUUUACCCCAGGUAGACCGAAACCACCAAAAAAUUGAUGUUACUUAAGUUUUUAAGUAUUAAAAAAAUGCGUUUCAUCAGAUACACAAAAUAAUAAUAAAAACUUUACUAUUAAACCAAAGUUUUAGUUAAAAUAAAAACAAAAUGUUUGCUUUCUGUGUAGAGUUACAAAAAUAAGUUGAAAUGCUAUUUAAUUUCGUAUUAUUUCCUGGUGAUCCUCUGCCAUACUAAUUUUACAUUGAUCUUACAUGCAAGCAUUUGUAAAUUAAUUUACCAUUAAAGGGCGGCCAAAGGUAUAUUCAUAUUAAAUGGGUGGUUGUAGUUUUGUAUAUUUUAUUUUCAUUUGUAUUAUUUUUAUUUUAGUUUUGUAAUAUUUUUAAGAACAAAUAAAAUAAUUAUAAUUA